GACGUAGGGCGCGAGCGUUGUCCGGAUUUAUUGGGCGUAAAGAGCUCGUAGGCGGCUUGUCGCGUCGACUGUGAAAACCCGCGGCUCAACUGCGGGCCUGCAGUCGAUACGGGCAGGCUAGAGUUCGGUAGGGGAGACUGGAAUUCCUGGUGUAGCGGUGAAAUGCGCAGAUAUCAGGAGGAACACCGGUGGCGAAGGCGGGUCUCUGGGCCGAUAUUGACGCUGAGGAGCGAAAGCGUGGGGAGCGAACAGG
RNAcentral lists this ribosomal RNA (253 nucleotides) under uncultured bacterium. RNAcentral describes it as "partial 16S ribosomal RNA". It matches the Rfam family "Bacterial small subunit ribosomal RNA", at positions 524 to 776 of the family's 1533-position model. The record is from RNAcentral.